Molecule: long non-coding RNA, 1917 nt
Organism: Catharus ustulatus (Swainson's thrush)
Lineage: Eukaryota; Metazoa; Chordata; Aves; Passeriformes; Turdidae
Exons: 5
Source: RefSeq, a predicted model, not a curated record
ACUAGGGAGGGAAGCCACUGCAAAAAAAAGAAAGCAUUAUUGCAUGGCUCCACAAAGGGAGAAAUUGAUUAAAUUUUGCCUUCUUAGUUCCCCAAAUCUGAUUCUGGCCUGUUCCACAUGAUGGAGGUGAACAAGGCAAAGCUGGGAGCAGCUUCCAGCUGGGUCAGCUUUUGCUGGGAACUGAGCACAGGAACAUCCAGGGGUGGUCCAAGCACAGGGUCCUUCACCCUGUGCCAAUCCCCAGCACUCCUUUCUCCUAGCCAGGAGGGCAGCAUGGCUACAGCAGCUGCACUAAACCCCUCUGCUAACACUGGCCAGAGCUUCAUCUCCUGGUGUUGAAGAGAGGCAAUGGGUGAGCCACCACAGGCUGUGGUCAUGAGGACUUUUGGAGGAUCGGGCAAGACUUGCAAGGAGAUGAGUGAAACGGAGCCGCAUUGAGGCUGAGUUCGGGGGGCUGCUCUGGCUGCUGAUGGAGCAGGAGCACACGGUGCUGGGGCGGCUGGCUGAGCUGGACCACACUUUGGCGGCUGCCCACACUGAAAAAUCAUUACGGGUGGCCGGGGGUGUUGCACAGUUCCACAGACUCAUUGGGCAGCUGGAGGACAGGAUGUUGGGAGCAUCCUAAGGAGCUGGAGUGAAAUGAGGCUCCACCUCCCCUCGGGACUCCCCAAGGACCUGGAGAAGAGUCUGAGCUCCUGCUGCUGCCAAAAGGAUGCUCUGUGGGAGGCUCUGUAGAGGUUCAGAGGUAUUUGGGUAGAAAUUGAAUAUUUUAGGAGAAUUCAUGGGUAUUUUAGGAGGAUUUGGAGGCUCUGGGGAGGAAUGCAGAGAUAUUUGGGAUAAUUCAGAUAUAUUGGGGGGAGGAAUUCAGAGUUAUUUUGGGAGGAAUUCAGUUUCAUUUUGGGAUAAUUUAGUUAUCUGGGGAGAAGUCAGAGGCAUUUCAGGAGGAAGAGGAGGAAAGGAAGGCAGCACCUGCUUACUCCUCACCUUCUUCCCUCCUCCCAGAUGUGGGUCCCCCCAUGGGCCUCCCCAAACCAAAGACUACGCUGGAGACUGGCACAACUCCUCUCCCACAGCUUUUGGGAAAGCAGAAAAGUGUGCGGUGGGAGGAAUAGGAGAAGGAGGAGCAGGACAAGGCCAGAGACCCCCGUUGAGGCCAGGAGAUGUCUGGCAGCUGUCAGGGGGUCAUUGCCAGGAAAUGCAGGACAUGGACAGAGUAGCUGAAGUCUGCAAGAUGCCACCUUGUGCAUCCUCAUCCUAAGUGCUGCCCAUAUUCCUAGGGACCCAAAUGGUUUUAUAACUGUGGGAAUCCUUAAAAUUAGAGGUUUUUGGGAAACCUGCAAAAAGCAGGUCUCAGAAACAGCAGAACUGCAAUUAGAUCUAAGCAGUAGCCAUAAGAUUUGUCAGCAGAAAAGUUAUAUGAGAUGUAGAAAGCAAGGAUAAAUAAAACAAUGGUCUGUGUAUUAAAGCUUGGCAAGAAUAACUCCCUAAGCAGAAAAGCAUAUCUAGCAAGAUAUUAGAAAGUUCUAAGCUUAAUAAUGGAGCUCUGUGCAUUAUAUUUUAAAGCUUACAAGCAGGUAUUGUAUUCAAAAUAAGCAAGCAUUGUUUCAUCCAAAGAUAUGUAUACUUAUAGUGGUUGGAUAAAAUUACUGGCAAUGUGCUUUUACUUUUUGUGAUUGGUCAAAAAACUUUUAAAGUGCAUUGUAACACCAAGUUCUGCGGCUGCUGCCGACGAUGUGAGCUGCUGGCACCUUCCCAUUGUCCCAACCAUGUAAUGAGUCUGAUACUGAAAAUAAACAGCUCGAGACGUGUUCCACAACAGUCCUGUCCUGUUCGUGAUGCUGUAAAAAAACCCAAAAAACCCGUGGCUGGCAUGACAAGCUCCUCUCUCAGCUUAUUUAAUUAGUAACCAAUGUUGUG